GCCCUCAUAGCUCAGUCGGUAGAGCGCGUUCUUGGUAAGAACGAGGUCAUGGGUUCGAAUCCCAUUGAGGGCU
This 73-nucleotide transfer RNA is filed under the name Chloroflexi bacterium GWB2_49_20. Its description in RNAcentral is "tRNA-Thr". It matches the Rfam family "tRNA". Rfam says of the family: Transfer RNA (tRNA) molecules are approximately 80 nucleotides in length. Their secondary structure includes four short double-helical elements and three loops (D, anti-codon, and T loops). The record is from RNAcentral. RNAcentral also lists the same sequence under 8 other names. Lineage: Bacteria; Bacillati; Chloroflexota.